AAGAGGAAGAAAACCCUAAAACCCGAUACGAAUCAGCUCGGCUGCCCUUAACACCCGACGCCUUUCUUCGGCCCAAUUAACCCUUAUGUGGGCCUUGCUCGUCCCAUCAACAACAACAAGUUUAAUAUAUGUCCGUGUCAGAUCCAGCCAUCAAGAGAGAGAGAUGAAUCCGCCCCCGAGCGCGCGAUGACAACGCCACACCAAUCCCCGUCGCCUCCUCGCUCUUCCUCUCACAAAGACAGCAGCGGCUCUACCGCCCGUUGGCUUGAACAGCGGCGGAUGCACUCGCCGGCGCAUUGCAUCGACGACAACGGCAGUCCAAGCCCUGUGUUCCAUUGAGAUCAAACCCUGGUCAUGCAUCCAUCGUCGGACCACCUCACUCGCUGCCGUGCCUCCUCGCGACUCCACGCCGCACGCCACCGCAUCGUGCCCCUACAGACGCCGUGGUGGUUCCCCCUUCCGCCGGAGCCCUACCCGGGGCUGCCCUUGCACCGCUAGACCAGCGCCGCCGGUCCCAUGCAACUUAGUUUCUCACGUUCAAUGAGUGGAUGACCAGUGAUAAUAACAUGGUACAUUUGUAUAUAUAUGUUUUUCCAAUGUUUCUUGAUUCAUUAUUUAGUUUACUUGCUUGA
Oryza sativa Japonica Group (Japanese rice) is the source of this 632-nucleotide non-coding RNA. The record is from RefSeq and is a predicted model, not a curated record. NCBI's taxonomy places the organism in Eukaryota, Viridiplantae, Streptophyta, Magnoliopsida, Poales, Poaceae.